UACGGAGGGUGCGAGCGUUGUCCGGAAUCACUGGGCGUAAAGGGCGCGUAGGCGGCCGGGUAGGUCUGCUGUGAAAACUCGAGGCUCAACCUCGAGACGUCGGCGGAAACCAUCUGGCUAGAGUCCGGAAGAGGAGAGUGGAAUUCCUGGUGUAGCGGUGAAAUGCGCAGAUAUCAGGAAGAACACCCGUGGCGAAGGCGGCUCUCUGGGACGGUACUGACGCUGAGACGCGAAAGCGUGGGGAGCGAACAGG
This 253-nucleotide ribosomal RNA is filed under the name uncultured bacterium. RNAcentral's name for it is "partial 16S ribosomal RNA". It matches the Rfam family "Bacterial small subunit ribosomal RNA", at positions 524 to 776 of the family's 1533-position model. The record is from RNAcentral.